AUCAUGUACUGCAGUUGCUUUUUUCUGCCUAUGCUGGUCAAGCCUAGCAUAGGCACCAAAAAGCAAAAACAGUAUGUGAA
Molecule: microRNA precursor, 80 nt
Filed under: Macaca fascicularis (crab-eating macaque)
Lineage: Eukaryota; Metazoa; Chordata; Mammalia; Primates; Cercopithecidae
Also listed under: 2 other names
Description: mir-4423 microRNA precursor family
Rfam family: mir-4423 microRNA precursor family
Source: Rfam by way of RNAcentral